CGAUAACAUCUGCAUUCGCUGACUCGCACCACGAUCCCUACAGCGGAAGUUGACUACUUGCUACUCACGCUACAAUAACGGAAGUAGUAUAAGCAGAAGUUUCUGGUUUUAAAAAAAGGCAUGUGGGCUGUGUAUUUUCGCCUAUAGAUCUACUGAACAUCUGUCAGUGUUGCUUCAGUGAUUAUUUAUAUUGGACAGUAUCUACUAAAUGUAUCUUACAGUGUGGAUGUGAUUAUUUAUUUUGCAAAGCUGAAAAAAUAGGUCACGAUCCCAGAAGACAACUAGAAUCUACACACAGAUUUGACACUUGUACAAGCUGUCUCUGAUGGAAAGAAGAUACAAGAAAGUAUGAAAAGCUACACAGAUUUUAAAAUAGCUCUAGUUGCAGGUGCUUGUGCAGGAACAUCAGUGGAUGUGAUCCUCUUCCCACUCGACACCAUCAAGACCCGCCUCCAGAGUCAGCAUGGCUUCAGGAAGGCAGGUGGCUUCAGGGGGAUUUACUCCGGUCUCAUGUCUGCUGCUCUGGGCUCAGCACCAACAGCGGCUUUGUUCUUCUGUUCAUACGAGGCAACCAAGCAUGCCUUCAGCCAGGUGCUGGCUGGUUCAAUGGCGCCCGUUGGACACAUGGCAGCUGCGUCUCUUGGAGAAGUGGCUGCCUGUUUGAUUAGAGUCCCAGUGGAGGUGGUGAAGCAGAGAACGCAGGCCAACCACACCCACUCAUCCCUGCACACUCUCAGGGUCACGCUGGCCUCAGAGUUGAGUGUCUUGGAAUGUCCAAACAGUGCUGGCAGCAGGCAGGGAAGUGAAAGCCUUCAGGAAGGGUUUCCAAGGACUUUACCGGGGCUAUUUCAGCACAGUAGCAAGAGAAGUGCCUUUCUCAUUCAUACAGUUUCCAUUGUGGGAAUAUUUCAAGAUGAAGUGGUCGUCCCACACCGGCCGACCGAUAGAGGCGUGGCAGUCAGCGGUCUGCGGGGCUGCUGCAGGAGGUUUAUCUGCUGGAGUAACAACGCCACUAGACGUAGCGAAAACACGUAUAAUGCUGGCCAAGGCCAACACUGAUGUCGCCAGAGGUGGUAUUGGCCACGCCCUCAGAGUUGUACAUGCAGAGCGAGGAGUUAACGGGUUGUUUGCAGGAAUUACUCCUCGGGUUGCCUGGAUUUCCAUAGGAGGAGCUGUAUUCCUGGGGGUUUAUGAAAAA
Molecule: unclassified non-coding RNA, 1198 nt
Filed under: Haliotis rubra (blacklip abalone)
Lineage: Eukaryota; Metazoa; Mollusca; Gastropoda; Lepetellida; Haliotidae
Description: s-adenosylmethionine mitochondrial carrier protein- like, transcript variant X2
Source: RNAcentral